CUGAAUGUGUUAGUUCAUUGUCUGUCAUUACUAUAUGCGAAAAUACAUAAAAACUGUACAGUAAACUUUCAUUUUUAUCAAAUUGGUCGUAUACGAGCAAUUUAUGAAAGGUUUCACGAGUCCUUUUAUAAACGUGACCCCCUCAGAUUUAUUGAAAUGUCUACUAUACCAAUUUAUAUGGAAACUUGAGGCCAUAAUGUCAGUGUCUUUUUUUUGGGGCGCAUGCUAUUUAAAGAGUUUGCUAACAAAGAGAAUAUUAAAAUUUAUUUAUGUCGAAAUAAAAAAAAAAUUAUUCGAGGAAAAUAAUAUAUAGGAAAAAUUUAAUCAUAAAUAAACAAUAAAAUAAAUAAUUAAAAAAAAUUGCAAUACACAUACAAUGCAAAUAAAUGUCAGCAUUAUCAGUCUUUAAAGUCGGUAAUUUUUUCAUGAAUCUUAUAAUAUUCGCUUGCAUGAAUAAAGAAGUAUCAUUUAAAAAAAAAAUUAUUUAAAAUUCAAAUUUUAAAAUAUAUUUCUUUAAAAUGAGUUAUAAAUUUUUUGCCCUCUUUUCGAUAUUUUGCAUCAUGUUUGUGAUAGAAUUUGGCCAAUCAAAUGGACAACCAAACCGAAUUUGUAGACUGCCAAUAGAGACUGGUGCAUGCCCAGGAAGAUUUCCACGAUAUGCAUAUGUUGUUAGACAAAGAUCAUGUCAACGAUUUAUUUGGACUGGAUGUGAAGGAAAUUCAAAUAGUUUUGACACAAAACUUAAGUGCGAA
RNA transcript from Leptopilina boulardi, 752 nucleotides. It is a transcript of the gene named trypsin inhibitor-like, with no coding region annotated. The record is from RefSeq and is a predicted model, not a curated record. NCBI's taxonomy places the organism in Eukaryota, Metazoa, Arthropoda, Insecta, Hymenoptera, Figitidae. The transcript is spliced from 3 exons.